UUUCCGUAGGUGAACCUGCGGAAGGAUCAUUACAGAGUUCAUGCCCUCACGGGUAGAUCUCCCACCCUUGAAUAUUUAUACCUUAGUUGCUUUGGCAGGCCGUGGAAACACCAUGGGCUCCGGCUUAUGCGUGCCUGCCAGAGGAAACAAACUCUGUUUUUAGUGAUGUUUGAGUACUAUAUAAUAGUUAAAACUUUCAACAACGGAUCUCUUGGUUCUG
Molecule: unclassified non-coding RNA, 220 nt
Filed under: plant metagenome
Description: partial contains small subunit ribosomal RNA, internal transcribed spacer 1, and 5.8S ribosomal RNA
Source: RNAcentral